AUACGGAGGAUCCGAGCGUUAUCCGGAUUUAUUGGGUUUAAAGGGUGCGCAGGCGGGAGAUUAAGUCGGCGGUGAAAUUUGCCGCUCAACUGUAAAAGUGCCUUCGAAACUGGGUUCCUUGAGUGUAGAUGAAGUAGGCGGAAUUUGUGGUGUAGCGGUGAAAUGCAUAGAUAUCACGAGGAACUCCGAUUGCGCAGGCAGCUUACUAAACUACUACUGACGCUCAGGCACGAAGGCGUGGGGAUCAAACAGGAUUAGAUACCCUGGUAGUCCACGCAGUAAACGAUGAUUACUAGCUGUUUGCGAUACAAUGUAAGCGGCUGAGCGAAAGCGUUAGGUAAUCCACCUGGGGAGUACGUUCGCAAGAAUGAAACUCAAAGGAAUUGACGGGG
RNAcentral lists this ribosomal RNA (392 nucleotides) under uncultured bacterium. RNAcentral's name for it is "partial 16S ribosomal RNA". It matches the Rfam family "Bacterial small subunit ribosomal RNA", at positions 523 to 918 of the family's 1533-position model. The record is from RNAcentral.